RNAcentral lists this long non-coding RNA (989 nucleotides) under Gallus gallus (chicken). RNAcentral's name for it is "lncRNA (ENSGALG00010001065.1)". The record is from RNAcentral. Lineage: Eukaryota; Metazoa; Chordata; Aves; Galliformes; Phasianidae.
CUUCAAUUUCAGUGAUAUCACCCAGAUUGCUCGUUCGCUCCAUAAUGUAUCAGUAUACCUGAAAAGACAUCACUAUCUUGGCUGAUGGGCUCUUCUCUGUCCUGUGGUGGGACCAUUUCGGGACCAGAUGGAAGGCAACCUGACUACCACAGAAGAUACCUCACAGUUAUCCCAUCCAUCAGGAGAAUAUCAAGACUAGAAGACACACUACAACAGAUUGUUAACUCAAAGCUGAAUUUUUCUAUUACUGGAUUGUGCUGUAGCCUGCAAGGACUACUUCAGAAGGUGCAGGUCAAUGGUGUCUUCCAGCCCUAUCCAGACAUCUGCAGGACAGCUUUUAGUGCAUUUAAACAAAUAAAUUCUUUGUCUUUAGAAAUUAUGUAUGCCACAAUGUUUAUAGCAGCAAUUUUUCCACCUCUACGUUCUUCAGGCCAUAAUUUUGCUCUUACUGUGCCCUGAAUACUGCCAUUACAUUUGCUCAAACUGAUGCAGGAAGGAAUCUCUCCUUGCCGACAAUGAAGUUACAAAAUUUGUCUUUUUUUUUUUUUUUUUUUUUUUGUCUCCAGCAACUGUCAAAAGGUUACCUCAGUCCACCAGCUAACAUAAUAAGCAAUGAUAGCAUUAACAUUAAAAGAAUGGUGAAUACCAUUUAGUUAAAUCUAAGACCUGAUUAAAUUACAUGUGCCUGAAACUGCUCCAAUAUUUCUGAAACCUGUUUGACAUUCACAGUGAAAGCAUAGUCCCAGAAGAAAUGCUGGUACUUAUAAAACUGUAAUUGGUCAAAUUCUAUCUACAGAGGCAUCACUCUAAAUAUAACAUUUGAUUAGUAGUCAGACAUUUUGAAAUUAAUACAUACAAUUUCACCUCCUAAAUAUUCAGAUUUCUUUAGUAAUUCUUGAUAGCAGAACAAUUAAGUAAAGUAAAUGUGUAAAUAUAAAUCUUGUCUCAAGGUGUAAACACUAGCAAAAGCUCACCAAUUUAUUAACAAG